This 73-nucleotide transfer RNA is filed under the name Chloroflexi bacterium OLB15. RNAcentral's name for it is "tRNA-Lys". It matches the Rfam family "tRNA". From Rfam's summary of the family: Transfer RNA (tRNA) molecules are approximately 80 nucleotides in length. Their secondary structure includes four short double-helical elements and three loops (D, anti-codon, and T loops). Further hydrogen bonds mediate the characteristic L-shaped molecular structure. tRNAs have two regions of fundamental functional importance: the anti-codon, which is responsible for specific mRNA codon recognition, and the 3' end, to which the tRNAs corresponding amino acid is attached (by aminoacyl-tRNA synthetases). tRNAs cope with the degeneracy of the genetic code in two manners: having more than one tRNA (with a specific anti-codon) for a particular amino acid; and 'wobble' base-pairing, i.e. permitting non-standard base-pairing at the 3rd anti-codon position. Lineage: Bacteria; Bacillati; Chloroflexota. The record is from RNAcentral.
GGCCCCGUAGCGCAGCGGUAGCGCAGGUGCCUUUUAAGCACUUGGUCGCAGGUUCGAAUCCUGCCGGGGUCAC